Molecule: ribosomal RNA, 791 nt
Filed under: uncultured euryarchaeote
Lineage: Archaea; Methanobacteriati; Methanobacteriota
Description: bacterial SSU rRNA
Rfam family: Archaeal small subunit ribosomal RNA
Source: RNAcentral
ACGGCUCAGUAACACGUAGCUAACCUACCCUUAAGUCGAGGAUACUCUCGGGAAACUGAGGUUAAUACUCGAUAGGAGAUGUACCCUGGAAUGAUUCAUCUCUCAAAUUCGAGCUUAAGGAUGGGGCUGCGGCGGAUUAGGUUGUUGGCGGGGUAAAAGCCCACCAAGCCGAUGAUCCGUAAGGGCUCUUAGCGGAGAGGCCCUGAGAGGGAAUCUGAGACACUAUUCCCAGCCCUACGGGGUGCAGCAGUUAGGAAUCUUCUGCAAUGCGCGCAAGCGUGACAGAUUGAGUCAGAGUGCUUUUCAUAUGAAAAGCUUUUGCCAAAUGUAAAAAGUUUGGCGAAUAAGGACUGGGUAAGACGGGUGCCAGCCGCCGCGGUAAUACCCGCGGUCCAAGUCGCAGCCAUCAUUAUUGGGUCUAAAACAUCCGUAGCUUGCUUGAUAAGUUUCUUGUGAAAUUCCAUGUCUCAAAUAUGGAGCGGGCAAGAAGUACUGUUAAGCUAGAGACUGGAAGACGUAAGAAGUACGUUUGGAGUAGCGGUAAAAUGUGUUAAUCCCAGACGGACUAACAACAGCGAAGGCAUCUUACGAGGACAGUUCUGACAGUAAGGGAUGAAGGCUAGGGGCGCGAAAGGGAUUAGAUACCCCUGUAGUCCUAGCAGUAAACACUGCACACUAAACAUUAGUACCUCCUCGAGAGGUGUUAGUGCUGAAGAGAAGUCGAAGAGUGUGCUACCUGGGAAGUAUAGUCGCAAGGCUGAAACUUAAAGGAAUUGGCGGGGGAGCACAAU